RNAcentral lists this ribosomal RNA (336 nucleotides) under uncultured bacterium. Its description in RNAcentral is "partial 16S ribosomal RNA". It matches the Rfam family "Bacterial small subunit ribosomal RNA", at positions 338 to 667 of the family's 1533-position model. The record is from RNAcentral.
CCUACGGGAGGCAGCAGUAGGGAAUUUUCGGCAAUGGGGGGAACCCUGACCGAGCAACGCCGCGUGAAGGAAGAAGGAAUUCGUUCUGUAAACUUCUGUUAUAAAGGAAGAAAGACGGAUGGAGGAAAUGACAUCCGAGUGACGGUACUUUAUGAGAAAGCCACGGCUAACUCCGUGCCAGCAGCCGCGGUAAUACGUAGGUGGCAAGUGUUAACCGGAUUUAGUGGGCGGAAAGAGGGAGCAGUCGGAAGGAAAGGUAUGGGGUGAAAGACUGAAGCUUAACUUCAGUAAGCCAUAGAAACCGGGCGGCUAGAGUGCGGGAGAGGAUCGUGGAAU